Podarcis lilfordi (Lilford's wall lizard) is the source of this 71-nucleotide non-coding RNA. NCBI's taxonomy places the organism in Eukaryota, Metazoa, Chordata, Lepidosauria, Squamata, Lacertidae. The record is from the annotation of a GenBank genome assembly.
AGGACUGUGGUUCAGUGGCAGAGCUCUGCUUUGCAUGCAAAAGGUCACAGGUUCAAUCCCUGGCAACUCCU